This 4625-nucleotide long non-coding RNA is filed under the name Mytilus galloprovincialis (Mediterranean mussel). Lineage: Eukaryota; Metazoa; Mollusca; Bivalvia; Mytilida; Mytilidae. The record is from RNAcentral.
GACACAUUGUAUUGUUCAACCAAUUCUCGGUGUGAACCCAAAACUUUCACUGUGUUGAUUGUAAUCGUUCGUCAUCAUGACUGUGUUGCAGCAUUGUUUUUUAGGGCGAUAAUUCUUGUAUACGAAGAACGGACAGUGUUGAUAUGCACAAGCAAGUAUUAAUUCAAAUAUGUAAAUAAGAUACGACUGAAAAGAAGAUACAUAAGUGCGAAGAAAUGAUAAGUUGACAAUUGGAAAAUUGAAAAGACGAUUAUCUCAAGGUUUUAGUUUGAAGUCGCCCAUCUAUGUCAAGACACAAAAACAUUUCAAAAUGAGAAGCAGAUCUUCUACUUGCAAAUUUUUCCCUUAUCUUAAGUUCAUUUAUAUAUGUUUAAAGCAAAGGACGAACAGAUUUAUAGAUUAUUCGGUUCCCUACAUAUUGAUAUCGUACAAUCUUAGCCACGAGCCACAAGGGGGAACUUUUUGGCGAGUGAGCGUAGCAAACGAUCUAUAAAACUUCAAUUUGUGUCGAGCGACUGCUAUCUGUACGAGAUAUAUACGACAUAAACCCAAUUAUAUAUUAAUCGUUAUAUAACAUGUGUUUCCGUUUGCUAUCUUCCUAAGACAGUUCGACGCUUGACAAAAGGACUCUUGAUAAUGUCUCCUGACACAAUGUGUCGUCGCUGAUAAUGUUGUUAUCGUCUCAAAGAUAUGUGAAUUAGGCAGAGAGUGAGAUGGGUUGUAUAGGCGUAGGGGGGGGGAUAGAUAAUGUUGAUUAAGUGACUUGAGAUUAUCCUCUACUAUUUAUUUAGAAGUAAAAAUAGAGAAUACAAUUGAGAAUGGAAACGGCGAACAUAUCAAAGAGACAAUAACCCGAACAAAGAGCAGACAACAUCCGAUCUGGGCAAGUUAUCUAAAUAUCAUACAAUGUGAUACUUUGUAUCCAGCUUUUACGAAUUGAAUCCCAAGGAGACUUAUGAUAGCAUAAUACUUGGCAUAGUCAAAAAUUAAAAGACAUAAUUAUACAAAUAAACUUUCCGGAUUACCUCUGAUCACAACCUGUUUUUUGGUUGCUUUCAAAUUUCUUUGUCUUUACAUUUAUAUGUUAGGGUUUGUUUACUGUUGUUUGUCUUUUGAUUUUUUUGUAAUCGUGUUUUUUUUUCUCUUAUGUAAAAUUCAUUGAGAUAUGUUUAAUGCACAAGACGCACAAAAGUAUGAAUUAUCGCGUUCUCUUAACUCUGAUAUUGUAAAAUAUAUUAGCCGAGAGCCACAUUAUAAACCUUUUUUAGCUAGUGUGCGCAGUACUUUGUCUUAUGAGAGGAUGCAUUUAAAUCUCUAUUCAUCAUUCAAGAAUAGAAAGUCACAGCGUAGAACAAUCAAUGUUUCGCAAUCACUACAAUCUUUAAUGAAUCUAAUAGCAAACUUUGUAGUAGGCUUUAAAUAUGUUUUGAAAUUCACUCUGAUUUACACUGCUGUUUCAAUAUAUUUCAUCGAUGUCAAUUGUUCUUUAUAGGUGUGUUUGACGUUUAGAAGUCUAAUGUAAAAAUGGUAGCGUUUCAUCAUCAUCAUGUGUUAUGUCAUUACCGGAGGAGAAAUGAGACGGAUAUGUGAUUUAUAAAAAUCUUAUCUUUUGAGGAUAAUGUUAAUUAUGUGAAGGAUGUAUGUGAGAUUCAUAGUUUUACAUUGCAUCCCAUUCCUAAAUGAAACAAGAAAGCAAUGCUGUUUAAGAUUUAUUUUACUGGAAUUACAUUGAAUUUGUCGUGAGGAUGACAGUAAAGCAUUCACAUCCCGUGCUAGUUUGAAAUGGUUAGAAAUCUGCGUAAUCAUCGCAACGUCAUAGAUAUUGAACGUGCGUCUGAAUGUAUCAUCGAUCAACUUUAAUCACUUUAGAUAAAGUGUCAAGUUUGUGAUCAUCUUAUUCAUUUGCUUGCAUAGUCCGCAACUGCAUCAAUUUCUAAUCUGAAGUUCUUCUGUUGGUUGAUCGGCUAUACUUUUGACCAUUCCAUUAUCUUCUAGCCGUGUAGCAAUGCCGAUGUUUUCUGUAAGUAACAUAUUUAUAGCAUAGUUUAAUCAAUUUAUAGUGUACAUCUCUUUAAACGGUGUUUGGAACAUAAAAUUAACAAGAAUACAUUGAAAGUAUAUGUGAACUCAGUAAAAAUUUACUGAUUAAGGCUAAAUAUUCCUAUUUCAUCCUCCUUCAAACUGACGAAGAUUAAUUAACUUAAAAUUAUGAAAAAAACACUUCUUCAUCGACAUAGGAACAUAAAAAUAUGGAAGAUAAUACAAUACAUCGUUGUUUAAUAAGAUAACAUUACAACCGUACUAAAGUAUAAAAAAAUAGUUCUUCGGCGUCAUACAAUCGUAUCUGAGCGUCAAACAACCGUACUUUAGCGUCAAACAAUGGUCCUGAAGCGUCAAACACUUACUUAACCGUAAUCCAAUAGUACAUAAGCGUCAAACUAUCGCCCUUUAGCAUUAAACACUUACUUUACCGUCAUCUAAUAGUCCAUCAUCGUCAAACAAUCGUCCUUGAAUGCCGUCAAACACUUACUUACCGUUAUUCAAUAGUUCAUCAGCGUCAAACUAUCAUCCUCUAGCGUGAAAAUAGCGGUUAGAACGACCAAAGCGGUCCAUACAUAUAUUAUAUAUAUUUAUAAAUACCGUUUUGUCUUUUGAAGUUUACUCGAUGUGUUUUUAGAUAAAGUAAACUCAGAUUAUAUAUAAAAAAAGGUAUCAACUUAUAAAUUAUAAAAAUAAAAAUAAGUGGUAUGAUUGAAAAUAAGACAACUUACAACCAAAGUUUAUAUGAAGUGAAUCUCAUCGACCAACGAGCGGCAUUCAACUAUGAAAAUUAUCAACACCUAACGUCAACUGUAAAAGGCACCGACACGGUUUUCAAAUAUAAAAGAUUGCAAAUAUUACAUGUAUUAUGCCGCCUAUGUGUUAAGACAAAGACAAGUCAUAUUGUUCAACCAAUUAUCUGUGUAAACCGUAAACUUAUAUAUAUUAUGUUGAUUUUAACCGUUCAUUAGCAUUACUGAGUUGGAGCAGUGUUUUUGUAAGGAGGCUAUUCUUGUUUACAAAGAAGAGACAGUGUUGAUAUGCACGAGGCCAAAUAUGAAUUCAAAUAUGUAAACAAGAUACGACUUGAAAGAAAAUAUUUUACUGCCGAGAAAUGAUAUGUUGGCAUGACCGUUUUGCAAAAAUUUCUAGUUUGAAGUCGUCUAUUUAUUACAUAUUUUCAGGCUGGAUAAAAAAGGCUUCUAUCAAAUUAUGUUGAAUAUUUUUAACAAAAUUCAAAAAACCUGUAUGACAGUGAGCAAAAUUUGUUUUGUCAUAAAACAAUCACUUUUUCAUUGUGACGUCAUAUUUUUGCAAUUAUGACGUCAACAUUUUACGGGAAAGUUUGUGAUUAUAAAAAAUAAGAUGUGGUAUGAUUUGCCAAUGUGACAACUCUCAGCAAGAGAGUAAAAUGACACAAACAUUAACAAUUAUAGGUCACCGUACGGCCUUCAACAAUGAGCAAAGCCUAUACCGCAUAGUCAGCUAUAAAAGGCUCUGAAAUUACAAUGUAAAACAAUUCAAACAAGAAAACUAACAGCCUAAUUUGUGUAUAAAAAAUAAACGAGAAACAAACAUUAAACACAUAAACAAACGACAUCCACUGAAGUUUAUUUAUGUAUAUUUAAUGCAAAAGACGCACAGAAUUAUAGAUUAUCGGGUUUUCAACAUAUUAAUAUCGUAAAAUAUUAGUCACAAGCCACAAUGUGAACCUUUUAAGCUAGUGAGCCCAGCGCUUUGUUUUAUGAGAGAUUGUAUUCUAUCUUUCUAUUGAUCGUUCAAUUGAAGACAAGAAUGGCACAGCGUAUAAAAAUUACAACACAACAACAACCUUCAAUGAUUCUGAUAGCAGACUUUGUAGUAGGCUUAAACUAUUUUUGAAAUUCAAUCUGAUUUACACUGCUGUUUCAAUAUAUUUCAUCGCUGUCAAUUGUUCUUUAUAGUUGGUGUGACGUUUAGAAGUCUAAUAUUAAAAUAGUAAUGUUUCAUCAACAUGUGGUAUGUCAUUACCGGAGGAGAAAUGAGACGGAUAUGUGAUUUCUAAAAAUCCGAUCUUUUGACAAUAAUGUUUAUUGUGUGAUGGAUGUAUGUGAAAAUCAAAGUUAUGCAGUGCAUUCCCAUUCCAAAAUGAGACACGAAAGCAAUACUGUUUAAGAUUUACUGGAACAACAUUUUAUUUGUCGUGAGGAUGACAAUAAAGCAUUUACAUCCCGUGCUAGUUUAAAAUAAUUAGAAAUCUGCGUAAUCAUAGCAACGUCAUAGAUAUUGAACGUGCGUCUGAAUGUAUCAUCGAUCAACUUUAAUCACUUUAGAUAAAGUGUCAAGUUUGUGAUCAUCUUAUUCAUUUGCUUGCAUAGUUCGCAACUGCAUCAAUUUCUAAUCUGAAGUUCUUCUGUUGGUUGAUCGGCUAUACUUUUGACCAUUCCAUUAUCUUCUAGCCGUGUAGCAAUGCCGAUGUUUUCUGUAAGUAACAUAUUUAUAGCAUAGUUUAAUCAAUUUACAGUGUACAUCUCUUUAAACGGUGUUUGGAACAUUAAAUUAACAAAAAUACAUUGAUAGUGUGUGUGUAAUCAGUAAAAGUUUAC